GGCUCCUUGAUUAUUUAAUAUAUAAGGAGUCGGACCUGCCCAGUGAAGUAGUUUUAAACGGCCGCGGUACUCUGACCGUGCAAAGGUAGCAUAAUCAUUUGCCCUAUAAUUGAGGGCUAGUAUGAAUGGUUUGACAAGAAUAAAGCUGUCUCUAUGUAAUUAUAUAGAAUUUUAUUUUUAGGUGAAGAAGCCUAAAUUGUAUUAAAAGACAAGAAGACCCUAUCGAGCUUUAAAGAAAUUAAUAAAGUAAUAAUAAAUAUUUAUAAAAUAAAAUUUAUUAAAAAUUUUGGUUGGGGCGACAAAGGAACAAACAAAGCUUCUUUUAAAAUAAUGAAACUUACAAGCAUUGAUCCAAAAAAUUUUGAUUAAAGAAAUUAGUUACCGUAGGGAUAACAGCAUUAUCUUUUUUGAGAGCUCAUAUCGAAAAAAAGGUUUGUGACCUCGAUGUUGGACCAGGAUAUCCCAAAGAUGCAGAAGUCUUUAAAGGUUGGUCUGUUCGACCAUUAAAAUCCU
Molecule: ribosomal RNA, 513 nt
Filed under: Bufonaria rana
Lineage: Eukaryota; Metazoa; Mollusca; Gastropoda; Littorinimorpha; Bursidae
Description: partial 16S ribosomal RNA
Rfam family: Bacterial large subunit ribosomal RNA
Source: RNAcentral